Long non-coding RNA from Onychomys torridus (southern grasshopper mouse), 1599 nucleotides. RefSeq lists it as uncharacterized. The transcript is spliced from 3 exons. The record is from RefSeq and is a predicted model, not a curated record. Lineage: Eukaryota; Metazoa; Chordata; Mammalia; Rodentia; Cricetidae.
CAUUUUAUUUGAAAGCAUUGAAUAAGUGGCUCAGGCUCGCGCUCAGACUUAAGGGGCUGAUGAACUACGUCCCCGCCGCAGCCAGCUUUCUCUGCACCCCAAACCAGCCCGCUCCAGACGUCGGGCUGAGAUUCUGCUAUCACGUAGGCAGUGAGGUUGCGGGGGAGACGCGAUGCUUCCCUUGAAACCAUCAAGACAGAUGUCCGCGGGUUUUAGGGUGUACCCCCAAGGCAAGCACAUCUGGGCCGUCUCCAGGCAGAUGCUAGACCAAGAAGCUGCAGCUUGCGAGGCACCACCGCCCAGAACCGAGGUCCGGGUGGAAGGGUGGCGGCACCGCCCCUCGGGGGAUGCUCUCCCGACUUCAGAGAGGAAGAAAGGAAGAAAUGCACCCUAGGAAAACGGGCUUCGACUUUUUGUGCCUGUGCUUUCAUGGAAGUCACCAGCUUUCAGGCUGCUUAAGAUGCUGCUCAGACGCGCACCCAGCCAGUCUGUGGCCAGCCUUGCUAAGUCUGCGAGUCCCGGUCGGCGACCACUUAGGGUAGCACCGGGUUACACAAAAGGGUUAGGAGAUAUGCUCGCCAUGCUUACCUGUUGGCAAAGGAAAAAAUGCAAAAUGAAAUUUUAAAUUUGGAAAAUAAUACGUGGUGAUAUCUUUUAGAACCACGCACAGCUUUCUUCAGACAAAAGCCAAUUUUACCAUCCCGAAACCCAUGGCGCCCUGGAACUUCCGUUCGCAGCACUUUGGCGCCCUCUGGCUGUGUCAGGAUUGCCUGUUUGUUCUGCUUCGUCCCAAAAGAAUAAGGGGAAUGGAAAUGCAUGUUAUCUCGGUUGGAUCUACCCUCAGUGAGGAGCAUGAAUUCUGAAGGAGCUUGCCCUCUCCACGGUCGAUCGCGAUGACAAAACAUAACCAUAUUUAAAGAGACAAACGCCAAAGCUGGCUGGUAAAGGCACACAGGUCUCCAGGGCUAGACAUGAACUGGCAGAGAUCAUUGAUCAGGUACCACACUCCAACAACCCUUUGUGUCCCUGGAGCUCCACAAAUAAAAUGCAGGGACAUGCUGUGGGGCAACAGAGGUGAAGAUUGGAAAGGCGUGUCUUCAAACAGGAGCCACCCUUGACAGCUGGGAGCCCAGCAGUCAGGAGGGAGGUGCCGAUGUAGACCGCUUCCAAGCCUCCGGAGCCAUCCCCUCCCGGAUCUUGAUCCAGACUCCGCGCCUCUGGGACUGUGAGAAAGCCAUAGGGUUCUGUUGUCUAAGCCACCCAGCUUGUGGGAUUUAUUCUGGAAGCCCCAGAACACUGUCACCCAAGUCAGCAAAGGUCAAUGGAACUGAAGAACGCCUGGGAAGAGACACUCAACUAACCCAAGGUCCUUGGGAAUUCUCUCUGUGCUUGUCUCCCUGCCUCCCCCUUCUCUUUAUCCAACUCCAGUUAUUUCUAACAGAGGGCUUUGUUUUCAGUUCUCUCCAAGUGAACCACUCGUGGUGAUUUCUGGAGCCAUGUGUGUUAGUUACUUUGCUGGUUUCCUUAAAGACCUAAACAACACGCAGUCUGGUGGGCAUCUGAGAUGACUGUGCUCCCUUGAGUUACCCAAAGUAUUUG